GUCUAUGGCCAUACCACCCUGAACGCUCCCGAUCUUGUCUGAUCUCGGAAGUUAAGCAGGGUUGGGUUUGGUUAGUACUUGGAUGGGAAGAAUCUUUGCUGAAACAACAGGCAUAGAAA
Molecule: ribosomal RNA, 119 nt
Filed under: Microcebus murinus (gray mouse lemur)
Lineage: Eukaryota; Metazoa; Chordata; Mammalia; Primates; Cheirogaleidae
Source: RNAcentral